GUACAUAUCGUACAAGUUGUCUUGGAACGAUACAGAGAAGAUUAGCAUUGACCCUGCACAUAUCGUACAGUGAAAUAAGACUGUUACUU
Molecule: non-coding RNA, 89 nt
Organism: Anopheles stephensi (Asian malaria mosquito)
Lineage: Eukaryota; Metazoa; Arthropoda; Insecta; Diptera; Culicidae
Source: Rfam